GAAGCAAAGACCGCGAGGUAGAGCAAAUCUCAAAAAAACAAUCUCAGUUCAGACUGCAGGCUGCAACUCGCCUGCACGAAGUCGGAAUUGCUAGUAAUCGUAGGUCAGCAUACUACGGUGAAUACGUUCCCGGGCCUUGUACACACCGCCCGUCAAACCAUGAGAGUUGGCAACACCCGAAGUCGGUAGUCUAACCGCAAGGAGGACGCCGCCGAAGGUGGGGUUGAUGAUUAGGGUUAAGUCGUAACAAGGUAAC
RNAcentral lists this ribosomal RNA (256 nucleotides) under uncultured bacterium. Its description in RNAcentral is "partial 16S ribosomal RNA". It matches the Rfam family "Bacterial small subunit ribosomal RNA", at positions 1246 to 1500 of the family's 1533-position model. The record is from RNAcentral.